AGUGAACGCUGGCGGUAGGCCUAACACAUGCAAGUCGAACGGCAGCACAGUAAGAGCUUGCUCUUACGGGUGGCGAGUGGCGGACGGGUGAGGUAUACAUCGGAAUCUACUUUUUCGUGGGGGAUAACGUAGGGAAACUUACGCUAAUACCGCAUACGACCUACGGGUGAAAGCAGGGGAUCUUCGGACCUUGCGCGAUUGAAUGAGCCGAUGUCGGAUUAGCUAGUUGGCGGGGUAAAGGCCCACCAAGGCGACGAUCCGUAGCUGGUCUGAGAGGAUGAUUAGCCACACUGGAACUGAGACACGGUCCAGACUCCUACGGGAGGCAGCAGUGGGGAAUAUUGGACAAUGGGCGCAAGCCUGAUCCAGCCAUACCGCGUGGGUGAAGAAGGCCUUCGGGUUGUAAAGCCCUUUUGUUGGGAAAGAAAAGCAGCAGGUUAAUACCCCGCUGUUCCGACGGUACCCAAAGAAUAAGCACCGGCUAACUUCGUG
RNAcentral lists this ribosomal RNA (492 nucleotides) under uncultured bacterium. Its description in RNAcentral is "partial 16S ribosomal RNA". It matches the Rfam family "Bacterial small subunit ribosomal RNA", at positions 29 to 507 of the family's 1533-position model. The record is from RNAcentral.